AGGAGCCGUAUGAGGUGGGAAUCUCAUGUACGGUUUUGAAGCGGAGAUCAUUGAAAUGGAAUGAACGACCGUAAC
This is a non-coding RNA of Picea glauca (white spruce), 75 nucleotides long. Lineage: Eukaryota; Viridiplantae; Streptophyta; Pinopsida; Pinales; Pinaceae. The record is from Rfam.